Molecule: ribosomal RNA, 505 nt
Filed under: Tramea basilaris
Lineage: Eukaryota; Metazoa; Arthropoda; Insecta; Odonata; Libellulidae
Description: partial 16S rRNA
Rfam family: Bacterial large subunit ribosomal RNA
Source: RNAcentral
GUCCUUUUGAAUUUUAUAGAAGGUCUGACCUGCCCAGUGAUAAUUUUAACGGCCGCGGUAUACUGACCGUGCAAAGGUAGCAUAAUCAUUAGUCUUUUAAUAGAGGGCUGGAAUGAAAGGUUUAACGAGGAAUUGACUGUCUCAUUUUAUUUGUUUUAGAAUUUAAUUUUUUAGUCAAAAAGCUAAAAUCUUAUUGGAAGACGAGAAGACCCUAUAGAUCUUUAUAAAAUCUUAUUUAAUUAUUUUUAUAUUAUUUUAUUUAAAUGAUUUUUUAUUUUGUUGGGGUGACAAAAAUAUAUGUAAAACUCUUUUAUUUAUUUAACAUUAAUUUAUGAUUAUUAGAUCCAUUAUUAGUGAUUGAUAGACUAAGUUACCUUAGGGAUAACAGCGUAAUCCUCCUCCAGAGUUCAUAUUUACAGGAUGGGCUUGCGACCUCGAUGUUGGAUUAAGAUUAUAGUUAGGUGUAGCCGCUUAAUUUAUAGGUCUGUUCGACCUUUAAACUCUU